UCCGUGAUGGCUCUAUAAAUGUGUUCGUCAAAAAGCAGCUAGUUCUAAGUGCCAAACACAAAGAACGAAGGAACCAUGGCUGCUCUGAAAGCUCUCAUAUGCGUCGUGUUACUACUUGGAGUCAUCGGCUUCGCCUCCCCUCACAUCUCGGCGGGGCGUAUCGCUCCGGUGGUUGCUCCGGCAGUCCAUUGUGCAUCGACUGCCGAACCGAGCAUCGUAUCUACUGUAACAGGUGAGUUUAAUUGUUACUUAGUUUUUUUUGCACAAGCUCGUACGUGACCCUUGCCGCUCGUACGUGACCCUUGCAGCGGCCGUGAUAUCUAUCUGCUAUGAAUAAGAGGAUGCAGUGGUAGCGCUCCAGCUGCCACAGAAGAGAAGGGACUGCUGCCUUCGAGAGGCAUCUUCCUUCCGCCCUGCCUCCCGCCGUCGCGUGGAAACCUGCUGAAAGUUCCACUAGGAAGCACCCCCUAAGGUGAAGGAAAAAUAAGAUGGAACCAGUAAGUCAUAAUAUUGAAUAAUGAUGUAACAGUUCUGGUUAUCGUGCAUGUAUGCCACCAUGGGGAGCCACGUAUGUUUCAAUUCACUGGUCUGUUCCAACAUACUCCUAUAUGUUUUAAUAGCAACUCGAUCGUUGGAAUGUUACAUCGAAUUUAUUAGCAGAAGUUUUUAUGCUAGCCCCGGUGAAACAUUCGAUCAAAUUUCUUGCUACAAAUUCUUAUGCUCCAAAUUUAGCACUAAAAGAAAUUUUGAAUGACAGACGCAAAUAUCAAAAAUGGAGUGGCUGUAAGUUUAAAGAACAAACAAAAAUGUGCUCGAUUUUGUGAUGAUAUGGGUCGAGAAGCCACAUGUUCGUUGUAACCAAUAAUUGUGCACCUGAUGGAGUUCAUCCUAGGAAAAGGUCACAUAUCUUCUCAAAAAAGAAAUGAAAAGGUCAAAUGUUAACACCCUAGAGAACUGGGGUGAACUACCUAACAACCUGGUAAACCAUGUUAUAGAAUAUAUUUAGCUUCUCUUAGUCAAUCCUGUAGUUUACCAACUUCCAAGGUACAGAAUAUUUGUGUAGGUCAUUUUCCUCAAAAUAUCUGCAUAGACGAGUAAAUAGGUAACCGCGUAAGGAUGUUACCACAUUUUUCAGUUAGUGAAUUGUGCAUAUGAACUUAUCUCUGUGCUACAACAUCAAAUCCUCAGUUAAUCAUAUAAAGAAGACAUUGAAUAGUUGGUUUCCUAUUUCCCUCAUCCAAGAGGCAUCUAGCAAGUGGGCCAACUUAAUAGUGUCUUACAAUAUUGUAAGGCAAAUUAUCAGUCGAAACUAUUACUUGAAUAAUUUGACUUACUUACGAGCCCUUUUAUGGUGAUUGGGGAGGUACCACCAGUACUUUAAGGUACCACCCCUUAAUUUGGAUGUAACUUUUCGAGUAGAUGUUUUUUCAUAUAAAAAACUUUUUCAUCCGAGUUAGUAUGCAAAAGUUAUGCCCAUUUUACUAAAUUCUAGAGAGAUUUUGCAAAUAAUGUCGAAAUUCACAUUUGCAAACUUUCCCAACAACCAGACCACAUAUCACAUCGGAAACUUUUUUAUUUUUAUUUUUUUGACAUUUUCAUUAUUNNNNNNNNNNNNNNNNNNNNNNNNNNNNNNNNNNNNNNNNNNNNNNNNNNNNNNNNNNNNNNNNNNNNNNNNNNNNNNNNNNNNNNNNNNNNNNNNNNNNNNNNNNNNNNNNNNNNNNNNNNNNNNNNNNNNNNNNNNNNNNNNNNNNNNNNNNNNNNNNNNNNNNNNNNNNNNNNNNNNNNNNNNNNNNNNNNNNNNNNNNNNNNNNNNNNNNNNNNNNNNNNNNNNNNNNNNNNNNNNNNNNNNGUUCGUGCCAUGAACCGGUACUAAUGCCUCAAACCCCAUUAGUACCGGUUGGUGGCUCGAACCGGGACUAAAGGUCUAACCUUUAGUACCGGUUGGUGCCACAAACUGGUACUAAUGGGCAUCGCACCCUUUAGUCCCGGUUCGCGGCACCAACCGGGACUAAAAGGUCCAGAAGAACCGGGACAAAUGGCCCACGUGGCCCCUGGGCGCACGAACCGGGACUAAUGCCCCCAUUAGUCCCGGUUCUAGACCGAAUUGGGACUAAUGGGCUAACCCGGCCUAGACCAAAGCCCUCUUUUCUACUAGUGCACCAUUAAGAGGUUGUAGCUCAAAUGAUAUGUGUUUUCGUUCUAACUGGCAACCGUAACUCAUAUGUCACUCAGGAUGCUAGAUGUAUGCAGUUAAAUGAUAUAAAUUCUUAUUUCUAGAUCAUAUAAAAAUAUAUUACUCUCUUCGAUCGAUAUUAGUUGACACUGCUUUAGUUUCUCCAUUAAUAGCAUCAGCAUGAAACCCACCACACACAUUUUUGUCGAACAGCUACUGGUUUUGAGGGAAACCUACUGGUACAACUAUAACAGUAACAUUAUCACCAAAUGUGCUAAGAAUUUUGAUGCAAGCUGGAACAUGAGAGACUGCACAGUAAGCCAAAACAGAACCACACUGGACAAAGGGUGGUAAAAGCCUAAAGCACGUACCGCACUUUUAUCCUGAGCAUUCAUCGCCGUCAUAACUUGAUUCAGAAGCAUAUCGACACCUAGAAGAAGAGCAUCCUUGGCUGCACCCGAUAACGUGUCUGCCUAGUACAUUAGCAAAGAACAUAGGUCAACAUGGUCACAGAAGGGGUAACAUAUUUCUAAGAGCAAGAAGUAUUGUACAUCCUGCCUAAAAAAACUAUACAGUACUUAUUACAGUCCAUGGUAAGAUCAACUAGCAGGACACACAAGAAGGUAAAGCUCCAAUUUUCCUCUGUCUUUCAGAAAACAUGUAGCCAACAAAUAUACAAUGACAUGUAAAAAAGGUUUGUAACUAGAAGAACCGGUGUGUUGAUUCAGUAACAGUAGCAACUAAUACAUUGGCUGGGAUAGGGUUUUUCCCCCUCGCCCCUCCCCCGUCCCGCCCGCGCCGCCACCCGCGAGGCGGCCGGGGCGGGCGCCCAGAUCCCGCCGCCUCCGGUCUCCCCUCCUCCUCCUUCCUCCCUCGCCGCCGCCAGGGGGCACGGCCGGGCUCGCCUGACCGGCGCCGGCGGCGGCGGGGCCCUGCUCUUCCUCCUCCGCGNNNNNNNNNNNNNNNNNNNNNNNNNNNNNNNNNNNNNNNNNNNNNNNNNNNNNNNNNNNNNNNNNNNNNNNNNNNNNNNNNNNNNNNNNNNNNNNNNNNNNNNNNNNNNNNNNNNNNNNNNNNNNNNNNNNNNNNNNNNNNNNNNNNNNNNNNNNNNNNNNNNNNNNNNNNNNNNNNNNNNNNNNNNNNNNNNNNNNNNNNNNNNNNNNNNNNNNNNNNNNNNNNNNNNNNNNNNNNNNNNNNNNNNNNNNNNNNNNNNNNNNNNNNNNNNNNNNNNNNNNNNNNNNNNNNNNNNNNNNNNNNNNNNNNNNNNNNNNNNNNNNNNNNNNNNNNNNNNNNNNNNNNNNNNNNNNNNNNNNNNNNNNNNNNNNNNNNNNNNNNNNNNNNNNNNNNNNNNNNNNNNNNNNNNNNNNNNNUUCCGCACGGCAGGCGGCGAGGGCCGUGGGCGGCGUGGGCGGCGGUUGGGGUCCGGCUUCGGGCUGCCGGCGGCUGCGGUGGUUCCUCUCCGUCGUGGGCGUGCGGCGGUGGUGCGGCUCGACCGGUGGCGGUCCGGCGACCUGGUGAUGGUGGCCGGCGGUGCGCGUGUUGGUGGUGCCUCCCUUGGCGGCUUUCGGUGUGGGGAGGAAGGGGAGUGGCUUGGACAGGGGCGGCGGAGCCGACGGCGUGCCGGCUGCAGCGCGAAGGCGGGAGCUUUACGGGCCUCUGCGUUCCCGGGUGGGCCUGUGCGGCCACGGGCCUGGUGUGUUCCUGCCAUUGCGUCCGGUCAGCUACCGUCUCCGGCGGUGGAGGUGGGGCCCUCCCGCUUGCCGAUGGUGCUGUUGCCUGGUCCCGGCUCCUCUUCUUCAUCGUGCCGACCAUGCUUCACGGUGCCGUGGUGAGACAGCGUUGAACGCUUCGUGUCCGGGCUGGCGCAGGGUGAGGGUCUGUUUGGCGGCGAGCUUCGGAGUGCCUGAGGUGGAGGUUGGGAUCGGGAGAAAUCUCUGUUGGCCUGGCCGACAUCGACGCGGUGGUGCUUGUGGGUGCCGCCAGACCUUCCUGGAGGGCAUCGGAGCUACCCUUCCUCUCCCCUCACUGUACCGGGGGAAACCCUUGGCAGCAGCGUCGUCUUCGUCGCGUUCCUUCUUGGAGGUGUUGAUUGGUACCGGUGCUUCGGAGGCUCGGAGUCUGGUGGGAGAUCUCCGGUGGGUGCAGCGGCCACGAGGCUUCUUCGUUUCUUUGUCGAUCCGCCGUUGUCGGCGUUUGUUUCUCUUGUAUUUUCUCUUUCUUUUCUUUUGGGCGUGACUGUGCUGUUUCCGCCCCAGCACCUAUCGUUGGAUGGUUCGGUUGGUUGCUUUGUAUACAAAGCGGGGGGAAACCCUUUUUCGGUAAUACAUUGGCUGGCAGGCUAGUUACAUGCAACGACACACCAAGUUUAUCACUGACAUAGAACAAGUGCUAUCGUUGUAAAACUGAUACGAGAAAAAUCACAUCAAAAUUAAUUUUAUUGGAACCACAAAAUUUUCUGGUUCUGCAGCUGUAUAAUAAUAUAAUUAGACAAAUAUAAAUUUCUUCAAAACAUAGUGACCUUGCCUCCUGUCAAUCGGAGGUAUUAAACACGCAACAAUCCUAGAAAACAGCCCAAAGGAAAAAAUGUGGAAGUACAGAUGCCAAAUUUGAUAGUUAUUUAUUAGAAAGAGCCACCUUGUUUAUACAUCUUUCUGCUUGUUCGUAGUGGUUGGUGUGCUACUCUCUGAACCUGGAGAUCCCGAGUUUAAAAGGACCUUCAAUUUGGCGCGUGAGAUGCUGGGGAACAUGCGAGCACGCAGCAGCCUUCUCCAGCACGCCCCUAUUGGGCUGGCCAAUGAGCGGGACUGGACACCCCAGUUUUUUUAUUUUGUUUGUUUGCUUUUACUUUUUUCUGUUUUUUAUUUUUUAAUCUUUGAAACUAUUGCGAAUUUAAAAAAGUUCGAAAUUUCAAAAUAGUGAAUUUUUGAAAAAUGUUCCAGAUAUAAUAAGAUGUUCGUGGUUUAAGAAAUUUUCAUAACCUCACUGUCUUCCAUACAAACUUGGCACAAUCAACAUGUGAUCCAUACGUAGUUUUCUCAUCAAGGUUACUGCCCUCUCUUCAUCCUAAUGCAUUUCACACAGAAAAAAACGUGUCUUGUUAAUGACGCCUCUUGAUAUCCAGAAGCGAGCCAACUGUCGGAGCACUAAGGAGGCCCUUGUCGUGAAACAAAAUGGCUGCGCGACACCGCGAUAACUAUCAUGCUUUUGUGAUGACGAACAAUUGCUUUACGAGCAAAGAAACAAUGAUUCCUCGUUUUCGUAGAGGAGCGAUGACCUUUUUUAAGCGCAAAAAGCAAAGUUUAACCAAACUCUAGGGCUGCUAGGGCUUGGCAGAGAAACAAACAUAAGAAAAACCACGCAUGCAUCUCCCUCAAAUGCCCAGGUUUUCGCUAAUUACAAGCGCUCGUAGAAACCACUUUACUCAAUUCCGCGUGGAUGAUCAGAUACGUAACACCUCGUGCUGCUCGUGGAUGAAGUUUGUGCUGACUCAUCAUUGACGGCGGCCGCGGCAAGAUGCAUCGAGCUGCUCCAUGCCGUUCCACUCGCUUACGGCGGCGAACUCCAGGCAGGGGAUUCCAGCGUCACCCUAUUAGUGUGACCUUUACCUAACACUAUUAGUGUGAGUAUGACCUUUAACUAACACUACUACUAGAAGUACUAUGAGUAAUAAAUGAUGUUUACUCGAUCUAUUUCUAUGCCUAACCAUAUACCGUAUAUCUUAGGACUUUAAAGCGACAGAUGUGGACACCCAUGUUUGUUGAGGUGCUGCCAUCCCCGAUCGAUCUGUGAUGGCUCUAUAAAUGUGUUCGUCAAAAAGCAGCUAGUUCUGAGUGCCAAACACAAAGAACGAAGGAACCAUGGCUGCUCUGAACGCUCUCAUAUGCGUCGUGUUACUACUUGGAGUCAUCAGCUUCGCCUCCCCUCACAUCUCGGCGGGGCGUAUUACUCCGGUGGUCGCUCCGGCAUCCAUUGUGCAUCGACUGCCGAACCGAGCACCAUAUCUACUGUAACAGGUGAGUUUAAUUGUUCCUUAGUUUUGUUUGCACAAGCUCCGGUGAAACGUUCAAUCAAAUUUCUUGCUACAAAUUCUUAUGCUCCAAAUUUAGCACUAAAAGAAAUUUUGAAUGACAGACGCAAAUAUCAAAAAUGGAGUGGCUGUAAUUCAAAGAACAAACAAAAAUGUGCUCGAUUUUGUGAUGGUAUGGGUCGAGAAGCCACAUGUUCGUUGUAACCAAUAAUUGUGCACCUGAUGGAGUUCAUCCUACGAAAAGGUCACAUGUCUUCUCAAAAAAGAAAUGAAAAGGUCAGAUGUUAACACCCUAGAGAACUGGGGUGAACUUCCUAACAACCUGGUAAACCAUGUUAUAGAAUAUAUUAGCUUCUCUUAGUCAAUCCUGUAGUUUACCAACUUCCAAGGCACAGAAUAUUUGUGUAGGUCAUUUUCCUCAAAAUAUCUGCAUAGACGAGUAAAUAGGUAACUGCGUAAGGAUGUUACCACAUUUUUCAGUUAGUGAAUUGUGCAUAUGAACUUAUCUCUGUGCUACUACAUGAAAUCCUCAGUUAAUCAUAUAAAGAAGACAUUGAAUAGUUGGUUUUCUAUUUCCCUCAUCCAAGAGGCAUCUAGCAAGUGGGCCAACUUAAUAGUGUCUUACAAUAUUGUAAGGCAAAUUAUCAGUCGAAACUAUUACUUGAAUAAUUUGACUUACUUACGAGCCCUUUUACGGUAAUUGGGGAGGUACCACCAGUACUUUAAGGUACCACCUCUGAAUUUGGAUGUAAGUUUUUGAGUAGAUGAUUUUUCAUAUAAAAAACUUUUUCAUCCGAGUUAGUAUGCAAAAGUUAUGCCAAUUUUACUAAAUUCUAGAGUGAUUUUGCAAAUAAAGUCGAAAUUCACAUUUGCAAACUUUCCCAACAACUAGACCACAUAUCACAUGGGAAACGUAUUUUUUUUGACAUUUUCAUCAUUUUUCUUUUUUUUUAAACUGAAAAGGNNNNNNNNNNNNNNNNNNNNNNNNNNNNNNNNNNNNNNNNNNNNNNNNNNNNNNNNNNNNNNNNNNNNNNNNNNNNNNNNNNNNNNNNNNNNNNNNNNNNNNNNNNNNNNNNNNNNNNNNNNNNNNNNNNNNNNNNNNNNNNNNNNNNNNNNNNNNNNNNNNNNNNNNNNNNNNNNNNNNNNNNNNNNNNNNNNNNNNNNNNNNNNNNNNNNNNUGCCAUGAACCGGUACUAAUGCCUCAAACCCCAUUAGUACCGGUUGGUGGCUCGAACCGAGACUAAAGGUCUGUAGCGACCCGACCUCAGACGGUCAAGUCUCUGUACAUCAGUGUCAUCCCUGGAUCAGUAAUUCUGACACGCAAAGUACUCGAAGAAUUUAUAACAGAGUAGCAAUCACACAGUUAUUACAUCGAAUGUCUCAAAAGAGAACUUAUUACAAUAAUAUGGCUUAAGGCUAUCUAAUGCGAAAACAGCGGAGGGCUUGGAAGAUAAAGUAAGUCCAUCAACUCCAACGGCAUAGCUGAGCUACACGACAACAACCUAACGAACCUUACUCCUCGUCUGAAAAGUCUGCAAUAUAAUACGUUGCAGCCCGAGAAACGGGUCAGCACAUGGAAUAUGCUGGCAAUAUAACACAGUAGAGUAAAAACAGAAUAAUGCUAACACUACAUGCAUAUUUGGCUGGUGGAAAUCUCUACGGUUAUAGUUUUGCAUAAAGCCAAUUUUUCCCUACUGCAAAGGAAUAAAUUUUAUUUAACUAUCAUGGUAGUUGAACUACAUUGAGAAGGUAACCCCAACUCAAUCCCAAUUAAAGUGAUUAACAACCCAACAAUAUUAAUUAAGAGUGAUGAGACACAUAAGAUACUUCAAGUACUAGACACUCAGAAUUGUCCAUAAUCGGGGACACGGCUAACCAUGAUUAGACUGUACACUCUGCAGAGGUUUGCGCACUUUUCCCCACAAGACUCGAUCGCCUCCGUUGAUUUCUCGCACUGCAUGGUGUUUGAGAAACGGAUGACCGAGACACAGUCUUUCAGAAACAUUAACUCUCUACUCCGAGUAGACCAUACCAAACCUACAAAACCCACUACCUGCUGAUCUACCUGUUCAAGAGCUUCACAUAACUUACUCAACUAUGCUAGAGCCCAUAAUAGCUUGUGGCUGCACACGGAAGUUUCUAGCAUGAAUCAUCUCAGUUCCCUUUGAGCCUAGGUGGCGGUCCAUAGGAAAAUCACACGGUAACCCCGGGAUUUCCAAAAAAAACAGGCAAUCACUGGUAUCCCCAGGUCCCUCAGUCCACCCAGAUGUGUAUUAAAGUUGCCACCUUAGAUUGAACCAUUAAUUAACAAUCUCACAUCUGUCAUGGAACACUCAAACCCAACCACGUCUACGAGCAUAGCAUAGCAAUAUAAGCAUAACGUAGAAGUAACUCCCAAGGGUUUGAUAAUAAACAGGACAAUAGGUUCUACCUCAUCAGCUACUUCCCAAAACCCACAUGUUAAAGACAUCCUAGUCAUGCAAUGUUUGAGGAUUGGACUAAUGCAAUGAUAACUGGGUAUGAAAAGAGUAUGAUCAAUGUGUUACUUGCCUUGCUGACGAUCCGCGAAACCUAGUGACUCGUAGUAACACGCUUCGCACUCCGGGAAUUCUAUCGCAAACAAACAAUAACAUACAUAAGCAACUAGCAAAGAUGCACGAGCAAAACUUCAACGAAAAGCCCAGCAAGUUCAACUUAAGAACUCUGGUUAGCAAAAAGAAUCGAAUCAACCGGAGCAACGAAACUCAAACGGCGAAAGAAACAAAAUCCAUUUACUAAUCUGCACUAAGGUCAAAUUUUUACAGUACCAAAACUUAUUUUAAGUUGGUUAAGCAGAAAGAGGGUCUCGAGACGAAACUCCAGGCUUUUGAAUCACCUGAUUCCGACUAACGAGCGAAAAGAUAAACAGAAACUAAGAUUGGAUCAGAAAUCGCGAUCAGAAAAGUCGCAGAAUAAAUCUGACAAAAGAAAAAGUGACGAACAGAUUAACGAACGAACAUUCGUUAACUGAAACUAAACUAAGAACACGUUCGUUAAAAUGAACGGAUGAGCGAACGCUCGCUAAAUAAAUAAACCGGAGAAAUAAACUGAUCUAUAAAAAACACGCAACUAGGGUUUCAAAAAAAACCGAACGGNNNNNNNNNNNNNNNNNNNNNNNNNNNNNNNNNNNNNNNNNNNNNNNNNNNNNNNNNNNNNNNNNNNNNNNNNNNNNNNNNNNNNNNNNNNNNNNNNNNNNNNNNNNNNNNNNNNNNNNNNNNNNNNNNNNNNNNNNNNNNNNNNNNNNNNNNNNNNNNNNNNNNNNNNNNNNNNNNNNNNNNNNNNNNNNNNNNNNNNNNNNNNNNNNNNNNNNNNNNNNNNNNNNNNNNNNNNNNNNNNNNNNNNNNNNNNNNNNNNNNNNNNNNNNNNNNNNNNNNNNNNNNNNNNNNGCGGCGGCGGAGUCGGAGCCGGACUACGGCUGCGGCGACGCGCGGGAGGAAGGCGGCGGCGCGGGGUUGGUCCGGCCUGGCUCGGCUGGGCCUCGGCCUAGUCGGGCGCGGGAAGUUUUUUUUUAAACAAUUAUGCCGGCAGAAAUAAAAUCCUAGAAAAUAAAAUAAAACCCUAAAAAUGGCAAAACAAAUUUUCACUAUCUAAAUAAAAUAUUUAGAAUGAGAUGAACAUUUUUCUUGGCCCUAAAAUGCAAUUUUUGGAAAACGUGCAAAUUUUUCUAAUGCAAAUAAAAUCCAAAUAAAAUCAACUAAGGUCAAAUAAAUGAUUUUAACAUUUUUCCUCCAAUAUUUCAAUUAUUUUGGAGAAGUCAUAUUAUCUCCUCUCAUUUAUUUUUGGUACAAAAUAUUUUUCGGAGAAAGAAAUAAUUAAAAUCAAAAAUCCUCGUUUCAUUAUUUGGUACGAAAAUCCAAAUAUGAGACCGGAAAAAUCCCCAACUCUCUCCGAGGGUCCUUGAGUUGCUUAGGAUUUCGAGGAUUGCAAAGCGGAAAAGAAAUAAAAUAUGAUAUGCAUGAAUGACCUAUGUAUAACAUUCCAAAUUAAAAUUUUGGGAUGUUACAAACCUACCCCCCUUAAGAUGAAUCUCGCCCUCGAGAUUCGGGUUGGUCAGAAGAUAUGCUCUGUCCUCUCUUUCCUAGGUGGCUUCAUCUUCCGUAUGGUGGCUCCACUGAACUUUACAGAACUUGAUGACCUUACUGCGAGUUACUCGGCUGGCAAACUCAAGAAUCUUCACUGGCUUCUCCUCAUAGGUCAAAUCAUUGUCUAGCUGAAUUGCCUCCAAGGGUACGGUAUCGCUUAACGGUGUAUCAGCCAUCUCCGCAUGGCAUUUCUUCAGCUGUGAGACGUGGAACACGUCGUGAACUCCCGAUAGUCCUUUGGGUAAUUCCAACUUGUAGGCAACUUCUCCCAUCCGUUCCAAAACACGAUACGGUCCUACAAAUCUCGGGGCUAAUUUUCCUUUAACUCCAAAACAUUUCACACCUCGCAAGGGUGAUACUCGCAGAUAUGCUCUGUCUCCCAUUUCAUAAGUUACCUCCUUGCGUUUUGAGUCUACGUAGCUUUUCUACCUUGACUGAGCUACCUUUAGUCUAUCGCGAAUCAAUUUAACUUUCCCCUCAGACUCUUUGAUCAAGUCUGGUCCGAACAACUGACGAUCUCCUACCUCAUCCCACAUUAACGGGGUCCUGCAUCUGCGUCCAUACAAAGCUUCGAACGGUGCCAUCUUCAAACUGGCUUGGUAGCUAUUGUUGUAUGAAAAUUCUGCGUAAGGCAAAUUGUGAUCCCAGCUAGAUCCAUAAUCUAGCGCACAUGCUCUUAACAUAUCUUCCAGUAUCUGGUUGACUCUCUCAGUCUGACCAUCAGUCCGUGGGUGGAAGGAUGUACUGAACUCCAAUCUUGUACCCAAGGUCUGGUGUAACUGAUGCCAAAACUUUGAAGUGAACUGAGUCCCUCUAUCAGAUACGAUGCUCCUCGGAACUCCAUGCAAACAUACAAUUCUGGUCAUAUAUAUCUUGGCCAAAUUAGCACUUGUGUAGGUAGUUUUCACUGGAAUAAAGUGAGCCACUUUAGUCAAACGAUCCACUACUACUCAUAUUGAGUCAUAUCCUGCCUUGGUCCUGGGGUAGUCCGGUGAUAAAGUCCAUACCAAGUUUAUCCCACUUCCAUUCAGGUAUCGGCAUCGGCUGUAACAGUCCGGCUGGUUUCUGAUGCUCUGCCUUCACUCUCUGACAUACAUCACACACGGCUACAUACUCGGCAAUAUCCUUUUUCAUACCAGUCCACCAGAAACGUUCCUUCAAAUCCAAAUACAUCUUGGUGUUUCCGGGGUGUAUCGAGUAUGGUGAGUCAUGUGCCUCCUGAAGUAUUAACUUCCUCAUUUCAGCGUUAUUGGGUACAUAAACCCGGUCCUCAAACCAUAAGGUAUCGUGCUCAUCCUCGCGAAAACCUUUGGCCUUUCCUUCGCUCAUCUUCUCCUUUAUUUCGGCAAUCUCUUGGUCUUCCUUCUGAGCUUCUCGAAUUUUGUUCAACAAGGUCUACUUAACCUCCAAUGUUGCAACAAAACCUCUUGGAACAAUCUCCAAUCGAAGUUCCAUGAUAUCCUCAGCUAACUUCUUUGGCAAACCCUUGCUCUCAAGCAUAUUGGCAUAACUUUUCCGGCUCAAAGCGUCUGCUACAACAUUGGCUUUUCCCGGGUUAUAGUGUAGCUUCAUGUCAUAAUCUUUUAUAAGUUCCAACCAUCUCCUCUGUCUAAGGUUCAGCUCCUUUUGCGUGAAAAUGUACUUCAAACUCUUAUGAUCCGUGUACACAUCACAACGAUUUCCAAUAAGGUAAUGUCUCCAAGUCUUCAAUGCAUGCACUACGGCUGCUAAUUCCAAAUCAUGCGUGGCAUAGUUCAACUCAUGAGGCUUCAGUUGUCGUGAAGCAUACGAAACAACCUUACCAUCCUGCAUAAGCACAUAUCCCAGUCCCAAACGAGAGGCAUCGCAAUACACUUGAAACUCCUUAUGUAUAUCUGGCAAUGUUAGCACUGGGGCUGUAGUCAAACGUUUCUUCAACUCCUGGAAACUUGCCUCGCAAUCCUCUGUCCAUAAAAACUUAUUGUCCUUCUUCAAUAGUUCAGUCAUUGGUUUUGCCAGCUUGGAAAAAUUCUCAAUGAAUCUCCAAUAAUAUCCCGCGAGUCCAAGGAAAUUGCGGAUCUCGCCAACUGAAGUGGGUGCCAACCAUUCAGUGACUGACUGAACCUUGCUGGGGUCCACUGCUAUACCUUCUCCUGAUAUAACAUGCCCAAGAAAUCCAACCUCCUUCAACCAAAAGUUGCACUUGCUGAAUUUGGCGUAUAACUGCUGUUCUCUGAGUUUCUCGAGAACUAACAGCAAAUGCUCCUUGUGCUCCUCUUCAUUUUUCGAGUAUACCAUAAUAUCAUCGAUAAACACUACUACAAACUUGUCCCAAUACUCCAUGAACACUUUGUUCAUCAUACUCAUAAAAUAGGCAGGGGCAUUUGUCAGUCCAAACGACAUGACCGUAUACUCGUAUAAUCCAUACCGCGUAGUGAAUGUUGUCUUUGGUAUAUUCUUCUCUCGGAUCUUUAAUUGAUGGUAUCCUGACCGUAGAUCAAUCUUUGAAAACACCUUAGCUCCUUGCAGCUGAUCAAACAGAUCAUUGAUCAUCGGUAAUGGAUAUUUGUUCUUAAUUGUUACUUCGUUCAAGGCACGAUAAUCCACAACCAUCCUGAGGGAUUUAUCCUUCUUCUCGACCAGAAGUACUGGGGCUCCCCAAGGUGAUGAACUCCUCCGAAUAUAACCUUUCUCCAACAACUCCUUGAUCUGUUUCUUAAUUUCCUCCAGAUCAUUUGCGGGCAUCCGAUAGGGUCUCUUGGAUAUAGGCCCUGUACCUAGCAACAGUUCUAUCAAAAACUCAAUGUUCCGAUCCGGAGGCAUCCCUGGUAACUCUUCUGGAGAAACAUCCGGGUAAUCCUUUACUACAGGCACUUCCUCCUGCACAACUCCCGUGAGGGCAUUCACUUGGGUCCUCCUAGGCACGUACUUAAUCCUUUUACCCUCCGGGGUGGUGAGAUGAAUUGACUUGCUAGCACAGUCAAUAUUUCCUCCAUACCUUGACAUCCAGUCCAUACCUAAUAUCACAUCCAAUCCUUGUGACUCCAAGAUAAUUAGGUCGGAUGGAAAAACAUGAGUUCCAAUGGUUAAAGGUACCUGGUUGCACCACCGGCUAGCCAUAUACUCAGCUCCAGGCCAGCUUAUUAAAAGAGGGGUCCUUAGGGUUUGGGUUGGUAGCUUAAACUUGUCCACAAAUCCCCUUGAUAUGUAUGAAUGCGAUGCACCAGUAUCGAAAAGAAUAAGAGCGGUAAAUGACUUAACCGAAAACUUACCUAUCACCGCGUCUAGCUGAUCUUGAACCUCCUCCACGUUAACGUGGUUCACCUGUCCUUUGUUGAAUGAAUUAGGCUUCUUUCCGGCACUCCCGUUUCCAUUUCCAUUCCUUCCUUCAAGGCAAUCAUUCGCAUAAUACCCGGUCUUUCUGCACUUAUAGCAAGUAACUUGACUCAGGUCUCUCUUGGAGGGUGUGGCUGGAUUGGAGCGAUUCUGAUUGUUGUUAGCUCCGUUCCCAUUUCCAUUCUUACCACCAUUGUGAUUAUGCGAUCCUCCUCUAGUGUGGUUGUGACCUCCAUGAUUAUGAACAAGCCCUCCCGUAUUCGGGGUUAAGCGAGGCUUAUGCUGAGCUCCGGAGUUAUACUUCCCUUGACCAUACUUCCUCUUACGACUCUCAAUCUGCUGCUGCUUCCCUUCGAUCAUAAGGGCCUUAUCUACGAACUCCUGGUAGUUGUUGAAAGUUGCCACCAUCAACUGCAUACUCAUCUCAUCAUUCAACCCUUCCAUAAACUUCUCCUGCUUCGCGGCAUCCGUGGCCACAUCAUCAGGGGCAUAGCGUGAUAGUUUGCUAAAAUCAUCCACGUACUGACCUACAGUACGGUUCCCCUGACGUAAAUUGCGGAACUCCUGCUUCUUCAUCUGCAUAGCUCCAGUGGAAACAUGGGCAGUACGAAAAGCCUGCUGAAACUGUGCCCAUGUGACCGUGUCGAUAGGAUAGGUGGCUGUGAAAUUCUCCCACCAUGAUGCUGCCGGUCCAUCCACUUGGUGUGCGGCAAAACGCACCUUCUCCGCAUCUGUGCAUCCAGCUGUGGUCAACUCCCUUCCGAUACAGCGUAGCCAAUCAUCAGCAACUAUUGGCUCGGUGCUACUGGAAAACACCGGCGGUUGUAACCUUAGAAAGCGGGUUAGGUUGUCCGCUGGUGGAGCGUUAUUGUUGUUAUUGUUGUUGCCUUGGUUCUGAACUAGCAAUUGCAUCAAAGCAUUCUGCUGCUGGAUCAACUGGGUGAGCUCCGACGGGAAAGCAAAACCGGUGUCACGUCUCGGAGGCAUCUGAUGGGUUUUAGAGGGAAGAGAUUAGAAUAGAAAAAGGUCUAGUGAGAAAGCACUACCCAUAUGCACAUGAGACAAGCACAAUCAUAACACUCAAUCAAUCAAGCAAGGGCUUACAACAAUCUAUAACUAUCGCAAAAGUGCUCAAUUACAUGGGAAAAAUACUAGUAGUAUAUGGUGGUCAUCUAGAAAAUUUUGAUCGAUGGAAGAUUCCAUAAUGUCAGCUCCAGCUUCAUCUUCAUAAUCAUCAUCACUAGGGUCCGAAUCAGUGUCGUCGAUGAUGAUGUAGUUGUCCGGGCAAGUGGGGUCGUCAUCUUCCUCUUCUGGUGCUGCUUCUCCCAUGAAUACUCCGAUCUUCUUAACCAGGUCGUCGUUCUUCUCCAGUAGCAUCUUGAUUUCCUCCUCAUAUCCGUCGCGGGUGAACUUGAGUUCUUCCUCCAGCUCGAUGAUCCUAGUCUUUGCCUUCUUCAAUUCCAUCAUGUCUGCGCACAUCUGGUUCUCCUGUUGUCAAAUGUGCUGGUUUUGCUCCUGGAUAAAAGCUGCAAUGGAUCUAUCCUUCUUGGUGCUGAUCAUAUCCCAUUGCUCGUCUCGGCACCCACAUAUUUGAUAGAUGGUGUCCUUGAGUUCCUUAUUGUAGACUUCUCCAAUGCGUCCCAUGGUAAUGUGGGCUGCCAUGCUCUUGCCUAGGCUCCAGGUUGGUGCAUCGAAAGAAAAUUCUAUGGGUUUAGAAGUUGGCGAAAACGUCCUUCCUGGUACUUGUACUUGAAUCAUCCAACGCUCCUCUUCUGGUAGGGUGGCGUUGUACGUCCCGGUGAAACUUGGUAUUCCAAUGUUCAGGUAUCUUGUGACUUCCUUCAAGUGGCGUCCAAAAGGUGUAUCCUCAUCUGGUUGCGCAAACUUGUUCUUCAUCUCCGGCAUCCUAAAGAGUGGAAAAGAGAAGAGAAAUCAGAAAUAAGUAGAGAAGAGUGACCUAUGGUUUGUCUUAGUGGUCGUGUCCUACACUCAGCGUGUGCUGUGAUACCAUUUUGUAGCGACCCGACCUCAGACGGUCAAGUCUCUGUACAUCAGUGCCAUCCCUGGAUCAGUAAUGCUGACACGCACAAUACUCGAAGGAUUCAUAAGAGUAGCAAUCACACACUUAUUACAUCGAAUGUCUCAAAAGAGAACUUAUUACAAUAAUAUGGCUUAAGGCCAUCUAAUGCGAAAACAGCGGAAGGCUUGGAAGAUAAAGUGAGUCCAUCAACUCCAACGGCAUAGCUAAGCUGCACGACAACGACCUAACAAACCUUACUCCUCGUCUGAAAAGUCUGCAACAUUAUACGUUGCAGCCCAAGAAACGGGUCAGCACAUGGAAUAUGCUGGCAAUAUAACACAGUAGAGUAAAAACAGAAUAAUGCUAACACUACACGCAUAUUUGGCCGGUGGAAAGCUCUACGGUUAUAGUUUUGUAUAAAGCCAAUUUUUCCCUACUGCAAAGGAAUAAAUUUUAUUUAACUAUCAUGGUAGUUGAACAACAUUGAGAAGGUAACCCCAACUCAAUCCCAAUUAAAGUGAUUAACAACCCAACAAUAUUAAUUAAGAGUGAUGAGACACAUAAGAUACUUCAAGUACUAGACUCUCAGAAUUGUCCAUAACCGGGGACACGGCUAAGCAUGAUUAGAUUGUACACUCUGCAGAGGUUUGCACACUUUUCCCCACAAGACUCGAUCAUCUCCGUUGAUUUCUCGCACUGCAUGGUGUUUGAGAAACGGAUGACCGAGACACACUCUUUCAGAAACAUUAACUCUCUAGUCCGGGUAGACCAUACCAAACCUACAGAACCCACUACCUGCUGAUCUACCUGUUCAAGAGCUUCAUGUAACUUACUCAACUAUGCUAGAGCCCAUAAUAGCUUGUGGCUGCACACUGAAGUUUCUAGCAUGAAUCAUCUCAGUUCCCUUUGAGCCUGGGUGGCGGUCCAUAGGAAAAUCACAUGGUAACCCCGGGAUUUCCAAAAAAACACAGGCAAUCACUAGUAUCCCCAGUUUCCUCAAUCCACCCAGAUGUGUAUUAAAGUUGCCACCUUAGAUUGAACCAUUAAUUAACAAUCUCACAUCUGUCAUGGAACACUCAAACCCAACCACAUCUACGAGCAUAGCAUAGCAAUAUAAGCAUAACGUAGAAGUAACUCCCAAGGGUUUGAUAAUAAACAGGAUAAUAGGUUCUACCUCAUCAGCUACUUCCCAAAACCCACAUGUUAAAGACAUCCUACUCAUGCAAUGUUUGAGGAUUGAACUAAUGCAAUGAAAACUGGGUAUGAAAAGAGUAUGAUCAAUGUGUUACUUGCCUUGCUGACGAUCCGCGAAACCUAGUGACUCGUAGUAACACGCUUUGCACUCCGGGAAUUCUAUCGCAAACAAACAAUAACAUAAAUAAGCAACUAGCAAAGAUGCACGAGCAAAACUUCAACUGAAAGCAAAGAACCAGCAAGUUCAACUUAAGAACUCUGGUUAGCAAAAAGAAUCGAAUCAACCGGAGCAACGAAACUCAAACGGCAAAAGAAACAAAAUCCGUUUACUAAUCUGGACUAAGAUCAAAUUUUUACAGUACCAAAACUUAGUUUAAGUUGGUUAAGCAGAAAGAGGGUCUCUAGACGAAACUCCAGGCUUUUGAACCACCUGAUUCGGACUAGCGAGCGAAAAGAUAAAAAGAAACUAAGAUUGGAUCAGAAAUCGCGAUCAGAAAAGUCGCGGAAUAAAUCUGACAAAAGAAAAAGCGACGGACAGAUUGACGAACGAACGUUCGUUAACUAAAACUAAACUAAGAACACAUUCAUUGAAACGAACGGACGAGCGAACGCUCGCUAAAUCAAUAAACCGGAGAAAUAAACUGAUCUAUAAAAAACGCAACUAGGGUUUCAAAAAAAAUAAUUAACCGAACGGUUUUAAAAAUAACUGGCGGUCUCGGAUUCCGGCGGAUACCUCCGGCGAGGGGGGUGGUCCGGCGAGGCGGGGCUCCGGCGGGCGGUGGCGUGGGGCGUCGGGGCUCCGGCGGCAGGCGCGACGGCGGAAAGCGACGGCGGCUGCGGAAAGCAGCGGCGGCGGCGGCUCGGCUGCGGCGACGGGCGACGGCGGUGGCUCGGGCUUCGGCUCCGGGCGGCGGCUGGUGGUGGUGGCUAGGGAGGGGCCGGCGGUAUUUAUAGGGGGGUCGGUGCCUUGGGGGAGGGGGCAGGCGGCGGCGGAGUCCGAGCCGGACUCCGGCUGCGGCGACGCGCGGGAGGAAGGCGGCGGCGCGGGGUUGGGCCGGCCUGGCUCGGCUGGGCCUCGGCCCAGCCGGGCGCGGGAAGUUUUUUUUAAAAACAAUUACACCGGCAGAAAUAAAAUCAUAGAACAUAAAAUAAAAUGCUAAAAAUGCCAAAACAAAUUUUCACCGUCUAAAUAAAAUAUUUAGAACGAGAUGAACAUUUUUUGGCCCUAAAAUGCAAUUUUUGGAAAACGUGCAAAUUUUUCUAAUGCAAAUAAAAUCCGAAUAAAAUCAACUAAGGUCAAAUAAAUGAUUUUGACAUUUUUCCUCCAAUAUUUCAAUUAUUUUGGAGAAGUCAUAUUAUCUCCUCUCAUUUAUUUUUGGUACGAAAUAUUUUUUGGAGAAAGAAAUAAUUAAAAUCAAAAAUCCUCGUUGCAUUAUUUGGUACGAAAAUCCAAAUAUGAGACCGGAAAAAUCUCCAACUCUCUCCGAGGGUCCUUGAGUUGCUUAGGAUUUCGAGGAUUGUAAAGCGGAAAAGAAAUAAAAUAUGAUAUGCAUGAAUGACCUAUGUAUAACAUUCCAAAUUACAAAUUUGGGAUGUUACAAGGUCUAACCUUUAGUACCGGUUGGUGCCACGAACCGGUACUAAUGGGCAUCGCACCCUUUAGUCCCGGUUCGUGGCACCAACCGGGACUAAAAGGUCCAGACGAACCGGGACAAAUGGCCCACGUGGCCCCUGGGCGCACGAACCGGGACUAAUGCUCCCAUUAGUCCCGGUUCUAGACUGAACCGGGACUAAUGGGCUAACCCGGCCUGGACCAAAGCUCUCUUUUCUACUAGUGCACCAUCAAGAGGUUGUAGCUCAAAUGAUAUGUGUUUUCGUUCUAAUUGGCAACCGUAACUCAUAUGUCACUCAGGAUGCUAGAUGUGUGCAGUUAAAUGAUAUAAAUUCUUAUUUCUAGAUCAUAUAAAAAUAUAUUACUCCCUCCUAUCGAUAUUUGUUGAUACUGCUUUAGUUUCUCCAUUAAUAGCAUCAGCAUGAAACCCAUCGCACACAUUUUUGUCGAACAGCUACUGGUUUUGAGGGAAACCUACUGGUACAGCUAUAACAGUAACUUUAUCACCAAAUGUGCUAAGAAAUUUUAUGCAAGCUGGAACAUGAGAGACCGCACAGUAAGCCAAAACAGAACCACACUGGACAAAGGGUGGUAAAAGCCUAAAGCACGUACCGCACUUUUAUCCUGAGCAUUCAUCGCCGUGAUAACUUGAUUCAGAAGCAUAUCGGCACCUAGAAGAAGAGCAUCCUUGGCUGCACCCGAUAACGUGUCUGCCCAGUACAUUAGCAAAGAACAUAGGUCAACAUGGUCACAGAAGGGGUAACAUAUUUCUAAGAGAAAGAAGUACUGUACAUCCUGCCUAAAAAAACUAUAUAGUACUUAAUACAGUCCAUGGCAAAAACUAGCAGGACACGCAAGAAGGUAAAGCUCCAAUUUUCCUCUGUCUUUGAGAAAACAUGUAGACAACAAAUAUACAAUGACAUGUAAAAAAGGUUUGGAACUAGAAGAACCGGUGUGUUGAUUCAGUAACAGUAGCAACUAAUACAUUGGCUGGCAGGCUAGUUACAUGCAACGACACAGCAAGUUUAUCACUGACAUAGAACAAGUGCUAUCGUCGUAAAACUGAUACGAGAAAAAUGACAUCAAAAUUAAUUUUAUAGGAACCACAAAAUUUUCUGGUUAUGCAGCUGUAUAAUAAUAUAAUUAGACAAAUAUAAAUUUCUUCAAAACAUAGUGACCUUGCCUCGUGUCAAUCGGAGGUAUUAAACACGCAACAAUCCUAGAAAACUGCCCAAAGGAAAAAAUGUGGAAGUACAGAUGCAAAAUUUGAUAGUUAUUCAGUAGUGGUUGGUGUGCGACUCUCUGAACCUGGAGAUCCCGAGUUUAAAAGGACCUCCAAUUUGGCGCGUGAGGUGCUGGGGAAACAUGCCAGCGCGCAGCACCCUCCUCCAGCACGCUCCUAUUGGGCUGGCCAAUGAGCGGGACUGGACACCCCAGUUUUUUUAUUUUGUUUGUUUGCUUUUACUUUUUUCUGUUUUUUAUUUUUAAUCUUUGAAACUAUUGCGAAUUUAAAAAAGUUCCAAAUUUCAAAAUAGUUAAUUUUUGAAAAAUGUUCCAGAAAUAAUAAGAUGUUCGUGGUUUAAGAAAUUUUUAUAACCUCACUGUCUUCCAUACAAACUUGGCACAAUCAACAUGUGAUCCAUACGUAGUUUUCUCAUCAAGGUUACUGCCCUCUCUUCAUCCUAAUGCAUUUCACACAGAAAAAAUGUGUCUCGUUAAUGACGCCUCUUGAUAUCCAGAAGCGAGCCAACUGUCGGAGCACUAAGGAGGCCCUUGUUGCGACACAAAAUGGCUGCGCAACACCGCGAUAACUAGCUAUCAUGCUUUUGUGAUGACGAACAAUUGCUUUACGAGCAAAGAAACAAUGAUUCCUCAUUUUCGUAGAGGAGCGAUGACCUAUUUUAAGCGCAAAAAGCAAAGUUUAACCAAACUAUAGGGCUGCUAGGGCUUGGCAGAGAAACAAGAGUGAAUUCCAUUUUUUACCUUGUAGUUGUACAUUUGUGACACAUAUUACCCUAUUUAGCGGAACUUUUAUCGAAAUGUCAGAUUUUGGAGACUUUUAACACGGUUUUACCCUAGUUUUACAUUUUGUCUGUUUAUGGUCGAUAGGAUCGGCAUGUUGCGUCAUUGAUUUGUAAAAAAAACUGUAAGGAUCGGAGGGCAUCAUUGGCGAUCUUGUCCAAGCUUCUCUUGUCUAUCUGUUCCACUCCUUCUGGCCGUCCACAUGUUUUUGGAUACAGAGCGUCACCUCACACCUUACCUGAUGGACACGCAUCAAAAAACAAGGGUCCAAAGAUUUCAAAAGGGGUAUUCUAGAUGAAUUUUCACUCGAAGGGGUAAUUAGUGUCACAAAUGUAUAAAUAUGGGGUAAAAAGUGGAAUUCACUCGAGAAACAAACAUAAGAAAAACCACGCAUGCAUCUCCCUCAAAUGCCCAGGUUUUCGGUAAUUACAAGCGCUCGUAGAAACCAGAUUACUCAAUUCCGCGUGGAUGAUCAGAUACGUAACACCCUCAUGCUGCUCGUGGAUGAAGUUUGUGCUGACUCAUCAUUGACGGCGGCCGCGGCAAUAUGCAUCGAGCUGCUCCAUGCCGCUCCACUCGCUUACGGCGGCGAACUCCAGGCAGGGGAUUCCAGCGUCACCUCACGUACUACUAUUAGUGUGAUCUUUACCUAACACUAUUAGUGUGAGUGUGACCUUUAACUAACACUACUACUAGAAGUACUAUGAGUAAUAAAUGAUGUUUACUCGAUCUAUUUCUAUGCCUAACCAUAUACAGUAUAUCUUAGGACUUUAAAGCGACGCAUGUGGACACCCAUGUUUGUUGAGGUGCUGCCAUCCCCGAUCGAUCCGUGAUGGCUCUAUAAAUGUGUUCGUCAAAAAGCAGCUAGUUCUGAGUGCCAAACACAAAGAACGAAGGAACCAUGGCUGCUCUGAAAGCUCUCAUAUGCGUCGUGUUACUACUUGGAGUCAUCGGCUUCGCCUCCCCUCACAUCUCGGCGGGGCGUAUCGCUCCGGUGGUCGCUCCGGCAGUCCAUUGUGCAUCGACUGCCGAACCGAGCACCGUACCUACUGUAACAGGUGAGUUUAAUUGUUACUUAGUUUUUUUUGCACAAGCUCGUACGUGACCCUUGCCACGGCCGUGAUAUCUAUCUGCUAUGAAUAGGAGGAUGCAGUGGUAGCGCUCCAGCUACCACAGAAGAGAAGGGACUGCUACCUUCGAGAGGCAUCUUCCUUCCGCCCCGCCUCCCGUCGUCGCGUGAAAACCUGCUGAAAGUUCCAACAGGAAGCACCCCGUAAGGUGAAGGAAAAACAAGAUGGAACCACUAAGUCAUAAUAUUGAAUAAUGAUGUAACAGUUCUGGUUAUCGUGCAUGUAUGCCACCAUGGGGAGCCACGUAUGUUUCAAUUCACUGGUCUGUUCCGACAUACACCUAUAUGUUUUGAUCGCAACUCGAUCGUUCGAAUGUUACAUCGAAUUUAUUAGCAGAAGUUUUUAUGCUAGCUCCGGUGAAACGUUCGAUCAAAUUUCUUGCUACAAAUUCUUAUGCUCCAAAUUUAGCACUAAAAAAAAAUUUUGAAUGACAAAAGCAAAUAUCAAAAAUGGAGUGGCUGUACGUUCAAAGAACAAACAAAAAUGUGCUCGAUUUUGUGAUGAUAUGGGUCGAGAAGCCACAUGUUCGUUGUAACCAAUAAUUGUGCACCUGAUGGAGUUCAUCCUACGAAAAGGUCACAUGUCUUCUCAAAAAAGAAAUGAAAAGGUCAGAUGUUAACACCCAGGAGAACUGGGGUGAACUUCCUAUCAACCUGGUAAACCAUGUUAUAGAAUAUAUUUAGCUUCUCUUAGUCAAUCUUGUAGUUUACCAACUUCCAAGGCACAUAAUAUUUGUGUAGGUCAUUUUCCUCAAAAUAUCUGCAUAGACGAGUAAAUAGGUAACUGCGUAAGGAUGUUACCACAUUUUUCAGUUAGUGAAUUGUGCAUAUGAACUUAUCUCUGUGCUACUACAUCAAAUCAUCAGUUAAUCAUAUAAAGAAGACAUUGAAUAGUUGGUUUUCUAUUUCCCUCAUCCAAGAGGCAUCUAGCAAGUGGGCCAACUUAAUAGUGUCUUACAAUAUUGGAAGGCAAAUUAUCAGUCGAAACUAUUACUUGAAUAAUUUGACUUACUUACGAGCCCUUUUACGGUGAUUGGGGAGGUACCACCCCUGAAUUUGGAUUUAACUUUUCGAGUAGAUGAUUUUUCAUAUAAAAAACUUUUUCAUCCGAGUUAGUAUGCAAAAGUUAUGCCCAUUUUACUAAAUUCUAGAGAGAUUUUGUAAAAAUAAAGUCGAAAUUCACAUUUGCAAAUUUCCCCAACAACUAGACCACAUAUCACAUGGGAAACUUAUUUUUUUUUUAUUUUUUUGACAUUUUAAUCAUUUUCUUUUAUUUUAUUUAAAACUGAAAAGGCAAUCCACUGGGGGGUGUUGUUUGAAAUGGGACCUUUAGUACCGGUUUGUGCCAUGAACCGGUACUAAUGCCUCAAACCCCAUUAGUACCGGUUGGUGGCUCGAACCGGGACUAAAGGUCUAACCUUUAGUACCGGUUGGUGCCACGAAUCGGUACUAAUGGGCAUCGCACCCUUUACUCCCGGUUCGUGGCACCAACCGAGACUAAAAGGUCCAGACGUACAGGGACAAAUGGCCCACGUGGCCCCUGGGCGCAGGAACCGGGACUAAGGCCUCCAUUAGUCCAGGUUCUAGACUGAACCGGGGCUAAUGGGCUAACCCGGCCUGGACCAAAGCCCUCUUUUCUACUAUUGCACCAUCAAGAGGUUGUAGCUCAAAUGAUAUGUGUUUUCGUUCUAACUGGCAACCGUAACUCAUAUGUCACUCAGGAUGCUAGAUGUAUGCAGUUAAACGAUAUAAAUUCUUAUUUCUAGAUCAUAUAAAAAUAUAUUACACCCUCCGAUCGAUAUUAGUUGACACUGCUUUAGUUUCUCCAUUAAUAGCAUCAGCAUGAAACCCACCGCACACAUUUUUUGUCGAACAGGUACUAGUUUUGAGGGAAACCUACUGGUACAACUAUAACAGUAACAUUAUCACCAAAUGUGCUAAGAAAUUUGAUGCAAGCUGGAACAUGAGAGACCGCACAGUAAGCCAAAACAGAACCACACUAGACAAUGGCUGGAAAAAGCCUAAAGCACGUACCGCACUUUUAUCCUGAGCAUUCAUCGCCGUCAUAACUUGAUUCAGAAGCAUAUCGGCACCUAGAAGAAGAGCAUCCUUGGCUGCACCCGAUAACGUGUCUGCCCAGUACAUUAGCAAAGAACAUAGGUCAACAUGGUCACAGAAGGGGUAACAUAUUUCUAAGAGCAAGAAGUAUUGUACAUCCUGCCUAAAAAACUAUACAGUACUUAUUACAGUCCAUGGUAAGAUCAACUAGCAGGACACACAAGAAGGUAAAGCUCCAAUUUUCCUCUAUCUUUCAGAAAACAUGUAGCCAACAAAUAUACAAUGACAUGUAAAAAAGGUUUGGAACUAGAAGAACCGGUGUGUUGAUUCAGUAACAGUAGCAACUAAUACAUUGGCUGGCAGGCUAGUUACAUGCAACGACACACCAGGUUUAUCACUGACAUAGAACAAGUGCUAUCUUUGUAAAACUGAUACGAGAAACAUCACAUCAAAAUUAAUUUUAUUGGAACCACAAAAUUUUCUGGUUCUGCAGCUGUAUAAUAAUAUAAUUAGACAAAUAUAAUUUUCUUCAAAACAUAGUGACCUUGCCUCCUGUCAAUCGGAGGUAUUAAACAUGCAACAAUCCUAGAAAACUGCCCAAAGGAAAAAAUGUGGAAGUACAGAUGAAUAAUUUGAUAGUUAUUCAUUAGAAAGAGCCACCUUGUUUAUACAUCUUUCUGCUUUUUCGUAGUGGUUGGUGUGCUACUCUCUGAGUUUAAAAGGACCUCCAAUUUGGCGCGUGAGGUGCUGGGGAACAUGCCAGCGCGCAGCACCCUCCUCCAGCACGCCCCUAUUGGGCUGGCCAACGAGCGGGACUGGACACCCCAGUUUUUUUAUUUUGUUUGUUUGCUUUUACUUUUUUCUGUUUUUUAUUUUUUAAUCCUUGAAAAUAUUGUAAAUUUAAAAAAGUUCCAAAUUUCAAAAUAGUGAAUUUUUGAAAAUGUUCCAGAAAUGAUAAGAUGUUCGUGCUUUAAGAAAUUUUCAUAGCCUCACUGUCUUCCAUACAAACUUGGCACAAUCAACAUGUGAUCCAUACGUAGUUUUCUCAUCAAGGUUACUGCCCUCUCUUCAUCCUAAUGCAUUUCACACAGAAAAAAACGUGUCUUGUUAAUGACGCCUCUUGAUAUCCAGAAGCAAGCCAACUGUCGGAGUACUAAGGAGGCCCUUGUUGCGACACAAAAUGGCUGCACGACACAGUGAUAACUAUCAUGCUUUUGUGAUGACAAACAAUUGCUUUACGAGCAAAGAAACAAUGAUUCCUCAUUUUCGUAGAGGAGCGAUGACCUUUUUUCAGCGCAAAAAGCAAAGUUUAACCAAACUCUAGGGCUGCUAGGGCUUCGCAGACAAACAAACAUAAGAAAAAGCACGCAUGCAUCUCCCUCAAAUGCCCAUGUUUUCGCUGCGCUCGUAGAAACCAGUUUACUCAAUUCCGCGUGGAUGAUCAGAUACGUAACACCCUCGUGCUGCUCGUGGAUGAAGUUUGUGCUGACUCAUCAUUGACGGCGGCCGCGGCAAGAUGCAUCGAGCUGCUCCAUGCCGCUCCACUCGCGUACGUCGGCGAACUCCAGGCAGGGGAUUCCAGCUUCACCUCACAUACUACUAUUAGUGUGACCUUUACCUAACACUAUUAGUGUGAGUGUGACCUUUAAGUAGCACUACUACUAGAAGUACUAUGAGUAAUAAAUGAUGUUUACUCGAUCUAUUUCCAUGCCUAACCAUAUACAGUAUAUCUUCGGACUUUAAAGCGACGGAUAUGGACACACAUGUUUGUUGAGGUGCUGCCAUCCCCGAUCGUGUUACUACUUGGAGUCAUCGGCUUCGCCUCCCCUCACAUCUCGGCGGGGCGUAUCGCUCCGGUGGUUGCUCCGGCAGUCCAUUGUGCAUCGACUGCUGAACCGAGCACCGUAUCUACUGUAACAGGUGAGUUCAAUUGUUACUUAGUUUUUUUUGCACAAGCUCGUAUGUGACCCUUGGCGCGGCCGUGAUAUCUCUCUACUAGGGAAAACCUUAUACACAGAAUCUUACCAGUAGCGCGUGUGAAAAUGAGACGCUACUGCUAAUUAGCAGUAGCGCGUCUGCCAAAACUGCGCUACUGUUACCCCCUUAGCAGUAGCGCGGCGGGAACUGUACGCGCUACUACUAUAAUUGCCACACCGUUCCCGACAUGCUAGGUAUAGUAGUAGCGCCCUUCUAGAAACGACGCUACUACUACCGAUUUUAGCAGCAGCGCGUUUUCCCCUCCCACACUACUGUUAAAUCUAUUCUCACCUAACCCCCCGCGCGGCCUGAUUCCCUCCUCUUCCUCCCCCAAUUCACCACUCUCUCUUCUCCCCCUCGUCGCCUCCGCCUCGCCGCCGUCUCCCCCGACCCCGCCUCAUGGCCGUCUCCCCCGACCCCGCCUCGCCGCCGUCUCCCCCGACCCCAUCUCUCUCCCCGCCCUCUGUAAGCACUCUCCCCUUCCGAUCCCUCUUGUUAAUUUGCUUAGUAUGAACCCUAGCUAUUUAGUGCUAGUUAGUACGAACCCUAGGCUAUUUUUAGUGUUAGUUAGUUAAUUUAGUGUUAGUUAGUUAGUUAGUAUGAACCCUUAGCAGUAGUUCCUAGGUACUAAUUAGUUAGUAAGAACUAGGUACUAAUUAGCUAGGUACUAGUUUAUUUUUAUUUAUAGUAAGUUUAUUUUCAGUAAGAACUAAUUGAAUUAAUAGAACAUGUUAGUAAGAACUUGUUGCUAUUUUUUUAGUUAAAGCAAUUUUUCCUGCAUCGACGUGGACAAUGCCUAUCCCGCAUCCUCGUCGUCGAGUCGGUGGAGGACGACACCUGCUUGACCAGAUGGGCCAUGUUCGGGACUGGGCUCCGCCGGGGUGGUACUGGGAGGCGCUACCUACUGGGGGGCGCAGGUUGGUGAGGAGCCAGCCUGUCGUUGACCCGAACCUUCUUUGGUGGCGGUCGCGUGGGCCAGUGACGGUCCAGAGGCUCAAGGACCCCGCGGAGGUGGUGCGUCACCGUGUCAGUCAGGAGGACGCGCACGUCCGUCGCUACUUGUUUGCGUUGGAGCACAGGUUCUCCAAUACCUGGCAGGUUCUCCAGGGAUCUCACUAGAGCUAUGAUCCCGUGAUGGUUCCUUCUCUGUGGGUGUCCACCGCCCGCGCCGAUACCCGUCGUGUGCUAGGGUUUUAGUUGUAUUAGUGAUGUUAUAUGUAUGACACUAUUCGGGAUGUAUUAGUUAUAAUAUUCGACGAUGUACGAACACGCAUGAGAUGAUUUACUUUUGCUUAUUCAAUGCAUGCUAAUUUCAGUCCUAUAAGAUAUUUUCAAAUGUAUGUCUUGUGUUGCUCAAAUAUGAUAUGUGCUUGCCCAAGUGGCCGGUCAUGUUUGCAGGUUACACCUCCGAGUGGCCUAUGUUUUGCUGGAGUGUUGAUUCAUUUCCGUUCCGGCAAAUCUCAGGCGCUCGAUAUGUCCUAUUUUAGCAACGGUCAUGCCGGAUUUUUCCGUGAAUUUUGGCAUGACUUGUGCCAGAAUAUGUAGGAAAUAUCGACUGCCCCGGAUUCGUGUGUUGAGUAUCCUGGUACUUGUCUUCGAUCGAUUUUCAAUUAAUGUUUUAAUGAUGAACAUAGGAAAUGUCUGAUGACGAAAAGGAUUUCGGUAUUUGCAAAUACUGCGAAGACGAGCGCGGCCUGUGCGACGGAAUCUUCCUAGAUGAUGAUAGGCACUUCAGCAUCAAGCUGGACGAGAACUUCGAAGUGGAUACAGUAAGUCACAACGACAAGUCUUUUUUCGUAAUUAAGCAUGACAUAUGCUUCAUUUGCUUCAACUUAUAAUUUGUUUUUACUAUUCUACUAGCGUAUCCCCUGCCAUGCAAGAGUUUUUGUAUUGGAUAAGAUAGGUUGCAUUCAUACUAUGGAGGUAAAGAAAUAUUACUGGAAGACCGAGCAUGGUUAUAUUUUCCACACAAAUUUAUACAAUUCAGUCAACUACACCUAUUUUGGAUGCAAAACAUGGCGAGCACUAUGCAAGACUUAUGCAUUUGAGCCUAAUAUGGUUAUCACCUUUGAUAUUCGUCCGGAAGAUGAUAUUGAAGGUAAUACCGACAUCUGGGUCGAUGUGCAGACGCCUCCAGUUAUACCAAAAUGUGAGUUUUUCAACCAUAUUUAUGUCUUUGAUAUUGUUUACUCAAAAAUAGUUGACAAUUAAUUUCUAUUGAUAGCUUAUUUCGGUGCAAGCAAACAUGUCUAGCGCUUGGUAGAUAGGACCGUAUACUGUGCCGGGGCUGAAAUCAACUGCGAGGAGCUCAGUCAUUAUGUUUCAUGGCUUGCGGAUCUUGAUACUAUCAAGACAAAUUUUCUUCCUCGAUUUAGAAAUGUUAGUACUGAAACGGUGCGACAAAUAGUGUUCGUACUGAACUACGGUCACAUCUAUUUAGGAAGGAUGGUAAGAUUUUUAAUAUUUGUCCUCAGUGCAUCUUUUCCAUACAUUAUUUUUGAAGCUAAACUUCAUUGCUAAGUAUGUUACCAUACGAUGUUCUUCAAUAGGGAGUCCCGAUGAAUGUUGUGCCUUAUGGGAUCGAGACUAAAGGUACCAUGAGUAUUAUUAGCUUACGGCCAAGAUAUCCUACAGAUUGUUGUAGUGCAUUCAAGAUUAGCGACGGAUGCUUAAUAGUGCAAGACUGGACCAAAUAUGUGAUGGGGGAGCGCAGAGAAGUACUAGGGGGCAGCAAACAGAAGCGCAUCCCAUGAUUAGGAGACAGGUUCAUCUGUAUGCUCCAACUUGAUCAAGGAGGAGAGCUACACAUGUUUUAUGUUAUUUUACAUAAGAGAGAGCAGCAAGAGUGAUUAGCUAGCUAGAAAUGAGUUUGAGGAUGAUGAUGUGCUACACUAUUACUAUGAUGAUAAAAUAGCUAGUGUUGGUGGUAAUGACUAUGAGGAUUAUUAUUAGCUAGUGUUAGUGGUGAUUAGAUAAAUAAUGUUGGUGGCAAUUACUAUGAUGAUGAUUAAAUAGCUUGUGCUGGCAGAUUAGAUUCAAGUGGAGGCAACAUGUGGUGCACAUCGAAAGUACUACUAGUCCAAACUAGAUCCAGUUUGGAUUAGUAGUAUACUUUUGACAUGCACCACAUAUUGCCUCCACUUGAACCUAAUCCACCUUCAUUUGACACACUGGACAUAAUGAUGUAAACCUCAUAACUGGUAUUGUACCAAUAUUUGUACGAUGGAGAGAAAACCGCAUAAAUACACUGAAAAUAAAAAAAUAAAAAAUGAAUACUAGUAGCGAUGGACAGAAAACGCGCUGCCACUAGUUUCAUUAGUAGUAGCGUGGGGGUGAACAAAAACUACAACUAUUCGUCCUAGUAGUAGCGCGCCCCUGCAUGCGUCACUACUAAGCAAUGGCUGUAGCGCCUUAUUAGUAGCGCGCCUACCCGCGCUACUAGUGACCACAAAACCAGCGCUACUGCUAGGAUUUUCCCUAGUAGUGUCUAUCUGCUAUGAAUAGGAGGAUGCAGUGGUAGCGCUCCAGCUACCACGGAAGAGAAGGGACUGCUGCCUUCGAGAGGCAUCUUCCUUCCGCCCCACCUCCCGCCAUCGCGUGAAAACCUGCUGAAAGUUCCACCAGGAAGCACCCCCUAAGGUGAAGGAAAAACAAGAUGGAACCACUAAGUCAUAAUAUUGAAUAAUGAUGUA
This 29337-nucleotide long non-coding RNA is filed under the name Triticum aestivum (bread wheat). Its description in RNAcentral is "long non-coding RNA (TAES_LNC011087)". The record is from RNAcentral. Lineage: Eukaryota; Viridiplantae; Streptophyta; Magnoliopsida; Poales; Poaceae.